UUGAAGCCUAGCGAUGUGUAAGUUAGUGGCGGACGGGUGAGUAACGCGUGGGUAACCUGCCUUGUACAGGGGGAUAACAGUUGGAAACGGCUGCUAAUACCGCAUAAGCGCACAGCAUCGCAUGAUGCAGUGUGAAAAACUCCGGUGGUACAAGAUGGACCCGCGUCUGAUUAGCUGGUUGGUGAGGUAACGGCCCACCAAGGCGACGAUCAGUAGCCGGACUGAGAGGUUGAACGGCCACAUUGGGACUGAGACACGGCCCAAACUCC
This 269-nucleotide ribosomal RNA is filed under the name uncultured Eubacteriales bacterium. RNAcentral's name for it is "uncultured Clostridiales bacterium partial 16S ribosomal RNA". It matches the Rfam family "Bacterial small subunit ribosomal RNA", at positions 59 to 339 of the family's 1533-position model. Lineage: Bacteria; Bacillati; Bacillota; Clostridia; Eubacteriales. The record is from RNAcentral.